This 770-nucleotide ribosomal RNA is filed under the name uncultured Neocallimastigales. RNAcentral describes it as "partial large subunit ribosomal RNA". The stretch from base 3 to 660 matches the Rfam family "Eukaryotic large subunit ribosomal RNA", at positions 24 to 664 of the family's 3401-position model. Lineage: Eukaryota; Fungi; Neocallimastigomycota; Neocallimastigomycetes; Neocallimastigales. The record is from RNAcentral.
UACACGCUGUGACUAGCAUAUCAAUAAGCGGAGGAAAAGAAACUAACAAGGAUUCCCUCAGUAACGGCGAGUGAAGCGGGAAGAGCUCAAAUUUGAAAUCCUGAAAGGUCACCUUUCACGAAUUGUAGUUUAAAGAAGUGUUUUCUGUUACGAUCGUAAUAUAAGUUCUUUGGAAUAGGACAUCACAGAGGGUGAGAAUCCCGUCUAUGAUUGCGAUUUGUAGCUUUGUGAUACACUUUCAAAGAGUCGGGUUGUUUGGGAAUGCAGCCCAAAACGGGAGGUAAAUUUCUUCUAAGGCUAAAUAUUGGCGAGAGACCGAUAGCGAACAAGUACCGUGAGGGAAAGAUGAAAAGAACUUUGAAAAGAGAGUUAAAUAGUACGUGAAAUUGUCAAAAGGGAAGCGUUUAACACCAGUGUUGUUUUCUGAAAAUCAACCUCUGUUAGCUUUAUGCAUGUUUGUUUAGACCUAAUCAGCUAUCUUUCAUGUUCUAUUGUUUGCAGUGGUGCACUUUUCAGUUUACAGGUCAACAUCAGUUUUUUUUACCGUAAAAAAGUUAAAGAAAGGUAGCUCAUGGCUCCGGUCGUGAGUGUUAUAGUCUUUUUCCUAUGCGGUAGGAGAGACUGAGGUCUGCAGUGUAGGCUAUUUGGCUAGAUACUCAGGUGCUAUGUGAUACCAUUUCAUAAACAACUUGUUGAUUAUGUUUUGUCUAUUGCAUACUCGCUUGUACUAUCAUACCUACGCUUAGGAUGUUGAGUAGCGACAUACGCAC